This 497-nucleotide ribosomal RNA is filed under the name uncultured bacterium. Its description in RNAcentral is "partial 16S ribosomal RNA". It matches the Rfam family "Bacterial small subunit ribosomal RNA", at positions 28 to 507 of the family's 1533-position model. The record is from RNAcentral.
GAUGAACGCUGGCGGCGUGCCUAAUACAUGCAAGUCGAGCGGACAGACGAGGAUCUUGCUCCUCUGGCGUUAGCGGCGGACGGGUGAGAAACACGUGGAUAACCUACCUCUAAGGCUGGGAUACCUUCGGGAAACCGGAGCUAAUAACGGAUAACCUGUUUAAACGCAUGGGUCAACAGUGAUUGGCGGUUUUGCUGUCGCUUAUAGAUUGAUCCGCGUCGCAGUAGCUCGUUGGUAAGGUAAAGGCUUACCGAGGAGACGAUGGGUAGCCGACGUGAGAGGGUGACCGGCCACACUGGAGCUGAGACACGGUCCUGACUCCUACGUGAGGCAGCAGUAGGGAAGCUUCCGCAAUGGGCGAAAGCCUGACGGAGCAACGCCGGCUGAGUGAAGAAGGGCCGUGGAUCGUAAAACGCUGUUAUUAGUGAAGAACAAAUGUGUAAGUAACGAUGCACUUCGUGACGGUACCUAAUCAGAAAGCCACGGCUAACUACGUG